CCUACGGGAGGCAGCAGUAAGGAAUAUUGGUCAAUGGACGAAAGUCUGAACCAGCCAUGCCGCGUGAAGGAUGACGGCCCUCUGGGUUGUAAACUUCUUUUAUAGGGGACGAAAAAAGGGUAUUCUUACUCACUUGACGGUACCCUAGGAAUAAGCACCGGCUAACUCCGUGCCAGCAGCCGCGGUAAUACGGAGGGUGCAAGCGUUAUCCGGAUUCACUGGGUUUAAAGGGUGCGUAGGUGGGUCUAUAAGUCAGUGGUGAAAUCUCCGAGCUUAACUCGGAAACUGCCAUUGAUACUAUAGGCCUUGAAUUAUCUGGAGGUAAGCGGAAUAUGUCAUGUAGCGGUGAAAUGCUUAGAUAUGACAUAGAACACCAAUUGCGAAGGCAGCUUACUACGGAUAUAUUGACACUGAGGCACGAAAGCGUGGGGAUCAAACAGGAUUAGAUACCCUGGUAGUCCACGCCCUAAACUAUGGAUACUCGACAUCAGCGAUACACUGUUGGUGUCUGAGCGAAAGCAUUAAGUAUCCCACCUGGGAAGUACGACCGCAAGGUUGAAACUUAAAGGAAUUGAGG
Molecule: ribosomal RNA, 577 nt
Filed under: uncultured bacterium
Lineage: Bacteria
Description: bacterial SSU rRNA
Rfam family: Bacterial small subunit ribosomal RNA
Source: RNAcentral